This 5637-nucleotide long non-coding RNA is filed under the name Solanum tuberosum (potato). RNAcentral describes it as "long non-coding RNA (STUB_LNC007674)". Lineage: Eukaryota; Viridiplantae; Streptophyta; Magnoliopsida; Solanales; Solanaceae. The record is from RNAcentral.
AUAAGGAGAGAAUAUGGAUGAGGGAUAGCAUCUGGUACUGGUAGUCUGCUCAAGCGGUCUUCAUUAAAAAUGAAGCUUCUUUGUUUUGCAUACAUUUUCAUUUCUGUAAAAUAUCAUUACACAUUUAACUUUUUAGGUGCAAGAAAUUGAAAACUAUGAGCUGAAGAAAAUCUUUAGCCUUAAAUUGGCAUAUUCGGAAAGAACAGGUUAUUCCAGAUUGAGGAUUAAUAUAUAGAGAGGGGCUGGCAUAUGUUAUUCCUACACACCAAGAGGAAGGGAACAAGACCUUUCAUCCCUCAAGUUAAUCAGAUUCAGGAAAUCCUAGAGUGCAUCAAUCUCAGCAUAUAAAAUUUCCAUUUAGAGAUAACAGUUCAUGAUGAUAAAACAUGAGAUCACACAUAUUGGGAAAUUUUUUAAUGUAAUUAACUUUUGAAGUUUGGAUUAAAAAAUUUCUAAGAUAGCAAAUGCUAUCUAUAUUCAAUAAUUUUCUAAGAGUACUGAUACAACAAUUAAGUGCAAACUCAACUAUCUUUUUUUUUUUUAUGGAAUAACCAUGGUAUUCGGGUCAGCUUGCUCCCACUCGACUAAUUCCACAGGAUACAUGCCACCUACCACCAUCAGAGUACCAAGUAACUUUGUCCACCAAGGCUUGGACAAAUGAGAAGAAAUCACCUAGCGUUUUUGCCUCUACUGGAAUUUGAACCUGAGACCUCAUGGUUCUCAACCCACUUCAUUGACCACUAGAUCACACCCUUGGGUGUCAAACUCAACUAUUUGUUGCACAAAACAUUAAAAGGAUGCCGAUUAUAAAUAUUCAACGGAAAAAGAGAUGUAUAUGCUUACAGAUCCAAGGCAUAGACCUAAGACAACCAGACAGAUCAUAAACCAAGAAAAAAAAAAAGCAUAACAAAGGUAUGAAGUAUCAGUAACUAAAAAAUAUCAACAGAACUCAUGGACCAUUAAGUGGAAUGUGGCUCACAUUACUAAGUAUGUAAUUACAUUUUCACACCGAGAUUUUGAAACAACAUAGAAAUGCAGAUUUGCUAUUCUGAAAGUGAAAGGCCCCUAUCAAAAGACAACCUGCACACAGAUGCGAUAAGUGCAUAAAAUAUAUACCAAUUUUCUUCGACCAAUUUCAUAACAGUUCUCUUCGCUUUUAGAUAAAAAACGGAACAUAUCUGCACAGACUUGCACAUACCAAUAAGUUGUUGCCUUGAAAGAGCCGACAUUUGAAAUAGCACAUGAGCAAAAACCAAAAUCUCAUAUAUAGCACACAGCUUACAAUAGAUUCAAACCAAAUUUUAAGCAAAAAAGUGAGCAGGACAAAAUUUAAGUAUCUAAAAACAGAAUACUUGGGCUUGUUAUACCCUGAAAUGAAAGAAAGUGAACCUUUCUUUCUUUUUAUACCUUUGAAAGAAAAAAGAAUAAAUAGCAUAACAUUUUUUGUAUACCUUCUUUGGAAUCAAUUUUCUGGUGUUAGAUCAGAAAUCCUCUUCAGCACAGAAACAUUAUGGAGGAUAUUAAGCAUUUUCAGCCAAAAUAAUUUGCCACUGGGCUUACUCCUCUGUGUGUUGUGCUAUCAGUACAUUAGAUUCAACCGUCGGCUACAAGCAACCCUCACUUCACACUAUAUAAGCCAUAAAACUUUAUAUCUAAGGGUUACAUAUACUCAAAUCAUAAAAAGCAGCAAAACCAUCACAAUAAUACAACAUAAGCAUAAACCAGAAAACCUAAAACUACUCAUACAUUAAAUGACUAAAGUCUCAACAUGACCUUGAUCCUACCAUAUAGAGCUACCAAGGAAAACAAUUAUAAACGAAAAAAAAUAAAUCAAGGCAUCUUACCUCAACUAUUCAGAAACCACAUCAUUCCUUUAUCUGAAUUCAUAUGAACAGAAUGUAAAAAUGAAGUAUCCUGACCCCAAAACACUUCUUAAUAGAUAAAAAUCCUGUCUUUUACAACAAAUAACAAAAAAAAAUUUAAAAAAAUCCAGUCUUUUACUCUCUGUACAAAUUUCAAACAAAUUGCAAUAUGCUUCCUAACCCAACUCGCUAAAGAGAAGAACAAUAACUUUAAUAGAGUAAUUUAACUAAAAAAUGAAAUUCUUGAACUCAAAUCUUAGGAUCAAAAUCAUACCCAUAAAUCAAAAUACACAAACCAAACACAACAUUAUAAUCUCAAAAUUAUAACUUAAACUUCCGAACCAAACGACCCCGAAACUAACAAACAACCCUUAGGAUUCCAAUAUUAUUUAGAGCCAAAUCUUCUACUUCUACUCCUCUCCCGUCUCAAUUUAUGUGCUAAUAUUAGCUUUAGUCUAAUUUUGCUUGUAAAUUUGAAUAUAAUUUUUCAAUUUUCUUAAAAUGAAAUUGAUAUAUUUAAAAAUUAAAUUAUUGUUAAUUUAAAAUAUAUAUAUAUAAAAAAAAUAGAAUUAAAAAUAGACUAUUUCGGAAUUCGAAAACUAUCACAUUAGGUUUAUACAGCUAUUCUGUAUAGCCAAAAAUAUACUCAUAGGGUAAAUGUAGUGUUAAAUAUUACACUAAUGUCCUUAAAAGAUUAACCAUUGUCCAUUAACACUAAAUUUUUAAGAAAGUUUAUUUAAAAUUUAUGUGACAUUUAUUAUUGAUUAUAAUUUGAUAAAUUAAAUUAUAUAAAAAAAUUACCAUGGAAGGUCGAUAUUUUGUAAUUCUUUUUUUUUAUAUACUUUUGGAGGUCGAUUUAUAUUUUUUUGAUAUCUUUGGAGGUCAAUUUUUUUUCACAAAAUAUAAAUUUGAAGAGAAUAAGUAUUGAAAAACCUAGUAAGAGCUUGUGUGGGUAAGUUAAAAAAACAGGUUAGUAAACUUAUUGGGGUUAUAGUUUCAAAUUGAAUCGGUAAAAAAAAUAUUACGUGAAUUCUAAAUAAGCUCUUUUCAAGUUCGAUGUUGAUGUUUGUCAUAAGUGAGCCAAAAAUAUAAUUAGAGGAAUAUUCUUAGUAAAAUAGACGGACAAAGAAUAUAAUACACCUUUUGCGAGAAUUCAUAGACAUUGUAGAUCCUCUUCAUUUAACAAAAUUACACAAGUAUACAACUGACUCACUAGGAGGAUUUUUAUUUUUUUUGGAUUUCCCAUCCAGACCCAUAUUGAAGCCCGACUUAAUUUGGAUUUGCACAGAAAAAUCCCAUAUUGGGUGUAAAGCGCUCUCUAACAAAGGCGACUCCAUAUCUAGGGGACUCGAAACCGAGACCUCUUUCAACUUGUGAAAAAUUUCUGCUAGUACUCAAAAGUACCAAUGAUAGUAAAACCUUAUGAAAAGCCUAACAGCUAAAAAAUAGUCCUGAGGACAAUCUUGCAUGAUGUUUUAAGGAGUAGAAAGCAGAACAACUAAUAGAAGGCCCAUCAAUCUGCCUUUCUCCUCUUCUAGGCUCUCAUGUAAAUGCAAUUUCACACAUAAAAAGAAAAAAAAAACUUUAUAACAUCCAACAAGAUAGCACUUCAACAGUUAUUACAGAAAAUGGAGGAAACUGUGUCCACAGGACAAUUCAUUGUGCACAGACCAAUAGCAGCUAACUGUUUAUUGCAAAAGAGUUCCCAGAAACAAACUGUUCGAACUAAAAGUAUCUACUAAGGGUUCACCUCAGUAGAAGAGCACUGCAGCAGAGGCAGAGGCUUUUGGUGCAUUCAAUAGCCUCUCUUCAUAUUCACAAAUUUUAGAGGUUUUUUUCUUUGCAAAUAUCUUCAUUUUCUUUAACACCAUGGAAUGCCUGAGCAAAUAUUCCAAAAACUGAAUCACAAAUUUCUUCUUUAUGAGACCAGCUACCUCCACCGUCUUGAGGUGAUGAAUCAUGCACUGGACAGGAGCAUCUACCAUGUUCCAGUAUUCAUCCGCGUCAAACUUAUAUAGGUGAUACCACGAUAGUUGUUUCUGAAAUAAGCACAAGAGCAAAUCUCCCAUAAAGAGUUGUACCAACCCAAGUAUAACAGACACUGAAUAGUGUACUGUCCAAACAAACAUUGCAAGAACACAGUUAAUAACAAGAGCAAUAAAACAAUUAAAUUUUGUCAUACUUGGGAUGUAAAUUCAUUGUAAGAAGAAGUAAUUUUGAUGAUAAGAUUCUCCAAGCAAGGACAGUGCUUCAGCAAGUUCAGUAUUCCUGGUAGAUUCCAUAUCAUAAAAUCUAAUUGAAGAUGAAGGGAUUUGCAGCUGAAGGUUGGAGAUGGUAGAUUUUUCAACUGCCACGCAGAAAAUACCUAGGCAGACAAAAAUUAAACAUAAAAGUCAAAGAAACUAAACAAAUAGAGAUUUUUGAAUUGAGCUUAAUGAACAAUGUAAGACUUGUGCUGACUACCACACGGUAAGUAACAAAAGCCUUUAAAAGCAGAUUGCACAAUGUACACGAAUAUUGACAGAUGCCUGAGCCUGAGACGUUAAAGACAAAACCCAACGCCAUAGCCCCUCUAAUCCAGUUUAUAGUUAGUAUAUCACCCUGGAGGUUAAAGUAAGAAAUCAUAACUAUACCUGGAGAAGUUGCGAAGAAAGAGAAAAAGUGCGUACCAGAGCAAACCAGGAACAUAGAUUGAGAGUUUUGGCCCCGGUAAAUGUUUGGAGGAAUGUUUUGAUCCCUUGGUAAUCCUUGUACACAUCGAAAUCAAAUAUCAGAUUGCGAUUGACAGACACUUCAGCAAUAGAUGCUACAUUUGCAAUAUCCAGCACCUCCACAGCUCCAGACAUAUCUAAUGAUAGGAGAGUUGGACAGGAGACAUGUAUCCUUUGUCGAAACCAUCCAAUGUCAAGCUUCAAUGUCUUUAAAUUUGAAUUGAGUAGAACCACUCUUAUAUGGCCAUAGCAAAGCUGCAAUGUCAAUUCCUCAAGCAUCGGGCAACCAGAUAGAAUAUAAUCCAUCGAUUGAUCCAUUAGCACAACAUUAUUAAGAUAUAAUGUUUUUAGAGACUUCAGCUUACUUUUCUUUUUUGCAUUUAUCGUACAGUGUGUCAACCAGAGUUCAACCAAAUGAGGACUGCUUAGAACACAAUUAGGCAGAUCAUAAAGAGCCUGUGGCCCAACUGUACCAUGCUCAGAGAAAGACAAGUCAAGGACCUCCAAAUUCUUAUUUAAUGCGAACUGGAUCCAGGUACCAAUUUCAUUAGCCAUCCUUUUCUCACUCCUCAGGAAAUCAUAGUACUGCCAUAUGCCUGUGCUGUUGGAUGUUCUUUGCCAAAAUGAAUAAGACAAUCUAAAAUGAAACUUAAGGCAGAACUUAUGAAUAGUUGGACUUUUACUACGAAGAAGCACGUGACGAACGGAGUGCACAAACCUUUCGUCGUAGUCAGGACGACCAGCUUCCAAAUAAUAGUCACAGUCAUGUUCUGGAAACAUGUAUUGAUCAAAAUUGAGUGUGUGGAUGAAUGGCCAGAGCUUAUGAAAUCUUCUACUUGCGUUACAGAUUCCUUUGACAGCAUCCUUUAAUGGCAAUAAGGAGAGAAUAUGGAUGAGGAUGUCAUCUGGUAGUCCGCUCAAGCGGUCUUCAUUCAAAACACAACUUCUUUGUUUUGCAUACAUAUUCAUUUCUGUAAAACAUUAUAACACAUUUUAGGUGCGAGAAAUUGAAAACUUUGAGCUGAAGAAAAUCUUUAGCCUUAAAUUGGGAUAUUUGGAAAGAA